Molecule: non-coding RNA, 19 nt
Filed under: Arabidopsis thaliana (thale cress)
Lineage: Eukaryota; Viridiplantae; Streptophyta; Magnoliopsida; Brassicales; Brassicaceae
Source: RNAcentral
CGGUGCAGAUCUUGGUGGU